CUGCCUCGAUAGCUACCAAGUCCUGAUUUUGUGGAGCUGUCAAUGUCCUAAAAAUGACUGUGGGAGCUCAGAAAGCUGAGGCAGGAGGAUUGCUUGAGUCCAGGAUUUUUGGCAUCAGCCUGGGACGCACAAGAAGACCUUAAAACAAAACGGAAGUAAUGUGACGUUAUUCCACAGAACUUUGACUAUGCUAACGGUAGAAUGAAGCCACAAGUGUAGUAUUUUGUUAUUAUCCCAAUGCAGCCUCAUUUUAUAGGAGACUAGAUGUUAUAAAUGAGGUCAUAAAUAAAAGAAAAUGGC
Molecule: long non-coding RNA, 300 nt
Filed under: Cricetulus griseus (Chinese hamster)
Lineage: Eukaryota; Metazoa; Chordata; Mammalia; Rodentia; Cricetidae
Description: lncRNA (ENSCGRG00015038868.1)
Source: RNAcentral